GUGCUGCCUUUGAGCCUCUGGCACCCUUCUUUGUGAUGCCUGGGUUAAGUUGCAGCACCAUAGUAAUUGCUAGUGCCUAACUGGGACCUCCUGCCCAUUGCCAGCUACAGGC
Molecule: small nucleolar RNA, 112 nt
Organism: Mesocricetus auratus (golden hamster)
Lineage: Eukaryota; Metazoa; Chordata; Mammalia; Rodentia; Cricetidae
Source: Ensembl